AGACCCGAAACCCGGUGAUCUAGCCAUGGGCAGGUUGAAGGUUGGGUAACACUAACUGGAGGACCGAACCGACUAAUGUUGAAAAAUUAGCGGAUGACCUGUGGCUGGGGGUGAAAGGCCAAUCAAACCGGGAGAUAGCUGGUUCUCCCCGAAAGCUAUUUAGGUAGCGCCUCGUGAAUUCAUCUCCGGGGGUAGAGCACUGUUUCGGCUAGGGGGCCAUCCCGGCUUACCAACCCGAUGCAAACUGCGAAUACCGGAGAAUGUUAUCACGGGAGACACACGGCGGGUGCUAACGUCCGUCGUGAAGAGGGAAACAACCCAGACCGCCAGCUAAGGUCCCAAAGUCAUGGUUAAGUGGGAAACGAUGUGGGAAGGCCCAGACAGCCAGGAUGUUGGCUUAGAAGCAGCCAUCAUUUAAAGAAAGCGUAAUAGCUCACUGGUCGAGUCGGCCUGCGCGGAAGAUGUAACGGGGCUAAACCAUGCACCGAAGCUGCGGCAGCGACACUCAGGUGUUGUUGGGUAGGGGAGCGUUCUGUAAGCCUGCGAAGGUGGCCUGUGAGGGUUGCUGGAGGUAUCAGAAGUGCGAAUGCUGACAUAAGUAACGAUAAAGCGGGUGAAAAGCCCGCUCGCCGGAAGACCAAGGGUUCCUGUCCAACGUUAAUCGGGGCAGGGUGAGUCGACCCCUAAGGCGAGGCCGAAAGGCGUAGUCGAUGGGAAACGGGUUAAUAUUCCCGUACUUGGUGUUACUGCGAAGGGGGGACGGAGAAGGCUAUGUUGGCCGGGCGACGGUUGUCCCGGUUUAAGCGUGUAGGUGUGUGUUCCAGGUAAAUCCGGUUCACUUUAACACUGAGGCGUGACGACGAGGCACUACGGUGCUGAAGCAACAAAUGCCCUGCUUCCAGGAAAAGCCUCUAAGCAUCAGGUAACAUCAAAUCGUACCCCAAACCGACACAGGUGGUCAGGUAGAGAAUACCAAGGCGCUUGAGAGAACUCGGGUGAAGGAACUAGGCAAAAUGGUGCCGUAACUUCGGGAGAAGGCACGCUGACAUGUAGGUGAA
RNAcentral lists this ribosomal RNA (1058 nucleotides) under Salmonella enterica subsp. enterica serovar Panama. Its description in RNAcentral is "partial 23S ribosomal RNA". It matches the Rfam family "Bacterial large subunit ribosomal RNA", at positions 711 to 1766 of the family's 2925-position model. Lineage: Bacteria; Pseudomonadati; Pseudomonadota; Gammaproteobacteria; Enterobacterales; Enterobacteriaceae. The record is from RNAcentral.